Molecule: non-coding RNA, 2356 nt
Organism: Phalacrocorax carbo (great cormorant)
Lineage: Eukaryota; Metazoa; Chordata; Aves; Suliformes; Phalacrocoracidae
Source: RefSeq, a predicted model, not a curated record
CUGUCAGUCAGGACCCGCUCGCUGCUGAGCUGGGUGUGCUUGGGGGGGCUCUGCUGGGGUCCGGCCACCAAAGCCAUUUGCACCUUGGAGGCAGCCUCUCCCAAAUGCCUGCAAGGGGCUGGAAAGACAAGCAGCAGCAUCCAGCACCGAGUAGAAACAAGCCCGCAUAAAUCCAUGUCAUCACUGAUGUCCUUGGGAAGUCCCCACCCAACCUGCUGUGCCUGGUUUCCUAUCAGAUGUUCCCUCACGGAGAUCUCUGGGUGUGUUGGGGCUCUUGUUGCCCACUGGCAAGAAAAGGUACAGAGCCUGUGAUGAGGAACCUCCAGGGAGUCCAAUACAUACGGGCACGGGCAUUGACUGGACGGGGAGAGCAGCACACCAGUAACUUUCCAUCGUAACUGCAGAGGUUAAAGCCCUGCCUGCAUGGCAGUUACCUUUUCCAUUAUUAUUCCACUAAAAAACAACCCUGUUUAACACCAAUGAAGUUGGAAAUGUAUUAAUAAAUGCCAUAAAGAGAGAGCAGGAGGAGGGAGGUGCGAGUGCCCCACCACAGUGCCAGCGUUCCCCGGCGCUCACAGUGUUUCUGUCUCCAGAUUUACCCCUUCUGCUGUCUGAUUAAUUUAUAUGCACAAAUAAUUCUUCUUCCCCAAGCUACCUCUGAUUUUGUAGGUGUGGUAUAUUUUGUUUGCAAAUAAUUCCCAAUGGUACUUGCACAUUUACUCAUUUUACGGGCUUCUGGCCUGAUUUAUGACUAUCACAAAGUGGGGAAGAUCCUUCAACUUGUUCAUCCAUUCUUGCAACAAGCUGCAGUCUCAGCCUUCUAAAAGCUGGCAGAAGAGAUGUACAAACAGAGGGUAUGAAACAAGAUAGAGGUCCUGUGAAACAGUAAAAAACCCUGUCCUAUAAACCUGUCCAAUUUAACAAAAAUAAACAAAAAAUAGCCUCAAAUCUUCCCACAGUGUUGUGGCUCUAAGUGAUACAAUAAUUCUUUUUAGUUCUGCGUAAAACUAAAGGAGUUCAUGUACAUUCAUAAAUUACUUCAAAGGGGAUGAGAGGUUAAAUAUUAACCCCUCUUUUUUUCGCCAGCAAACUGAGCCCUGACAGUGCAGUGCUGGCAUUUCAAAAGGCUUCCAAGUUUUCAGAUGCUCAACUCCAUGCAAGUAGAUGACCUGGCUCACUUCAAAAAUCACACCCUGAUAAUUUAGUCAAGGUUAAACAUGAUCUCAGUGAGAUACUAAAAAUAGUAUCUUGCUGUUUCCUUUGGAUGUUUAAGUAUCUGGUGCACUCCUCACUCGCUGAUGCUGUGGUGACCAAAAACCUGUCCGGUAGCAUCGUGCAAAACAAUAGAAAUUGAACCUUCUCCUGUGCAAGUAGAGAAAAUCAGGGAGAACGGGCAGAAAAUCCCCAAAACACCCAGACCACCCUGCAGUACAGUCCCAGCCUUAACAGAAAAGCAAGGAUAAAGGAACGAACCUCCGGUAAAAAUCUUAUAUCCUGAUCAUAGUGGCAGUUCGGGAGACGAGAAGGGGGUUGCGUUCAAGCAAGCCUUUUCCUCUCCCCUCAUCCUGACGUUAAUGUUUUUUUUACUUGUAAUUAUUGAUACCAGAAAUGUAAUUGGGAUAGGAGUGUUUCUGAAUGAGCUAAUUUCUAGGAAAUCUGGGGACUGGACUUUCCACAAGGCUCAGGUCUUGGCCCUUUCUUGCUCUCGCUGGUGCCAUCUCGAUCUCGCUGGAUUCCAUCUCAAUGCUCAAGCCUGGAGAUGCUGGGCUCAUGUGUGGGACCGUCCUGGUCCUUUCCGAAAGCAGGAUCACAUUCCCAGCGUACAAACACGACAAUCUAACAGACCCUACUGAUAUUUUCUCAACAGCCUCUGCCCAGCUGCCCCAAGCCCAUAGUGACCCUAUAGCCCAUGUUAUAUAUAUAUAUAGCACCGUGCUCCCGGGACCAGCAGUGCUGAGGCCCUCAGCCCUGCCCCAACGGACAGCCGGUGUAAAGCUCGGGUAUUUGCAUCAUGUGGCUUUUUUUAAGGCAGAAAUUUCCCUUCUACCAGGCCAGAUAAUACAGCGCCUCUCAACCUCUUAUGCGCUGGAGUCAUUUCCAAUGGGGGAAAAAGAGAGAAAGAAAUAUCCAAGUGUGUCAUGUCACAUCUUACAACACAGGAAUAUUGGAAAAAAAAAAAAAAAUCCCCCUGGAUGCAAAAUUCCAGUUUAUCAGUUAGUUUUGCUGGGGAACAGCAAGUUUUCUGAUAUUGUGUACGCACCCAUGGAGCAGUGGGGCAGUGGGGCGCUGGCAGUGGGGACUGUGGGAGGGUGCCACAACCCUGCUAACCCCACCCCAGGUGUAUCGUCACAGACAG